AUGGUGGCUAGGAGCAUCUUGCCCCGGAGCGUGCUGGGAGUUGUGGUCUUUGGGCUCUGGCCUUCUGGUCAGCCACGUUGGUUUCCGGAACAUGCUGGGAACGGUAGUUUCAAGUUGCCACUCGGCACGGGGCCAUUUAGGAUGGGCAGUUACUUCCUCCGCGCCAGUGGAGCGGGGUGCCUUUUCUGGCCGUUUCCGUCUGGUGUUCCUUUAAGGAGCAGACGGCCUGGGAAGCCGUGCCUGCCGUUCUGCUUCCGCCCAUGCACGGAGCGGGCUGGCGCGGCAUCGAACAGCGAGCGGUGCAGUAGGCGAAGAGUCGUUGCAUGGCGCGGCGCUCUCUGCUGCCACCUGCUGGCGAGAGGGAGGUACUGCAGGCGGAGACGACGCGCAUGCGCUGUAGUAAUUGCCAAGAUUGGUGCCCCGCAGCAUGCCGGGAGUUGUGGUCUUUGGGCUCCGAGCUUACAUUCGGCCACUUUGGCUUCUGUGGCAUGCUGGGAAAUGCUGCUCGGCUUCCAAGCCAGGAGCAACACGGAGACGGGUAGGAAGGGUAGUUGUUUCCUCCGCACCAGUGGACCGGCGUGCCUCUUUGCCGCUUUCAUGUGGUUUUCCGCAGGGAUCCCACUGCUUGUGUUAACGAUAAAACGUUUUGAGAAGCCGUGCCUGGUUCCAUGCAUGCGCGGAGUCGGACGGCGAAAAAGCAGUACAGCCGGCCGGGCCCGGCGUGCAUGCGCAGUAGUGGUGCGUCGCCCUGUGCCGCCACCUGCUGGUGGGAACGUGAUACUGCAGCAGCAGGUAAACCUUAGGAGGAACUGGUCAAAGGAAACAGUGCUUUCUGGAACUGUCAAGUUCUUGUUCAGCAACUCAGUGACUAGUUUGAUCUACUUCUCAGAUGUAGAGUCUCUUUAUUGCUUUUGCUAGUGGUGGAUAACACUUAUAAGGAAUCGGUCAAAGGAAAGAGCGCCUUCUGGAACUGUGAAGCUUUGCAUUGGUAACUCAGUGACUGGAUUGACCUACUGUUCAUCUCCAGAGGGAUGCAGACUGCUGUUUUAAAAUUAAAAAAAAAAAAUAAUAAAAAAAUUAUGGCACUGCUUUAUGUGGUUUAUGGAACCCAGAAGACUGCCAUUCUACAGUGCCUGGAUGACCACUGCUCUGCGUGGCAGUUAAAAGAAUUUGAUUUGGAGACAGAGAGCAGCAGAAGUGACAUCAGGAGGGGGUUCUUCACAGAGAGGGUGGUUGCACACUGGAACAGGCUCCCCAGGGAAGUGGUCACUGCACCGAGCCUGUCUGAAUUUAAGAAGAGGUUGGACUGUGCACUUAGUCACAUGGUCUGAACUUUUAGGAAGACCAGUGCGGUGUCAAGAGUUGGACUUGAUGAUCCUUAAGGGUCCCUUCCAACUCAGGAUAUUCUAUGAUUCUAAGUAAAACAGCUGGGAAGAGAUAGGUAUUGUAGUAGGUAGAGUGUGGUUAUGAGGUGCCUCAGAGUGUGCUUUUCGUCUUGUUUCUGACAUUCCUUGGUACAGUCCUGGAGAGGUGAAUUCCCCAUGUUGUGGAGUGGUGCAAAAAGGUUUUUUUGACAAAACUAAAACAACCCCUACAAUCAUCCUUAUUGGCAUUGGGAACUAGCCAAUGGCAAGUUUCAAAGGUGUUACUGAGAUGGGAAAAUGCAGAAGACCAAGACCACAAACUAAUAAUAGAUGCACUUAGUAUGGUUCAAGAUAAUGUAUUCUUAGCUCUUAGUUGUAUGCAAGCACAGUUAUGGUUGCAGGCAACAGCUGCCUUGAUCAUUAGGGAAGGAAGUGAAGGCAUUUUUUUGGCCGAAGUCCAAAAGACUGUUUGGGACAAUGCCAAUGAUUUUGAGAAGUUCCAGUCUUGGUGGACCCUGGUAAAUUUUACUUAUGAUCCUGUUGUUAACAUGGCUACUGCCUUUGUGCUUACUAUACAUAAUGCCACAGUUUAUGUUAUCCACCCAAUCAUUGCACUAGGAUUAAACGAUGAGAAGACAGUGCUCUAUCCUUUGGAGCAUAGAACAUGGGCACGGAUGGAGAAUGGGAAAUGGCAGUCUGUAAAUCUAGAAUCAUGUGUUACCCGGGAACAACAAGGAUUUAUUUGUGAGAGCAAUACAAUUGAUGCUCAGGAUGUAUGUUUUGACACGGAGCAACUUUGAAAUUCAUCCAAAUACUAGUCAAAAGACUGUGCUUGUAUAUAUUGGUCAAGGCUAUGUGUGUUUAAGAACUGCUUGUGAUUUUGUAGAAAUAGAUAAGGAGAACAUAACUCUCCGUAGCAAAAAUCAUUCUAACUUCUGUAUUUGUAACUUUGUCAGAAUCGUCGGGUGUGAUUUUCUAUAUUUGGCACUAGUGGUAUCCCACCAGCUGGUCAAGUCUAACAACACAAUGUAUCAUAAGUUACUACCUACACCUAUUGGGAUGAACCUCACGCUAGUGAAGCAACUAAUAAAAACACCAAGACCUGAUUAAAAUUUUAAAAGGCAGUCAGGAAAAUGGAGAGAAGACUCUAAUCACUGUCCAUCAUGAUACAAAGGAAAUAAGCAGAGUUUUGCAAAGAGUAAAACAAGACACAAAUCACAACUGGUGGGAUACACUCUUUAGAUGGUCGCCAACUGCAAAUGGGAUUUUGAACACACUGAGUUACCCAAUUAUUGUUUUAUUGAUAUUAGUUGGUAUAAGUUUAAUAUUUUGUAUUACUUGUUCGGAAUUGGAAAUUGUUACAACGAAUGUCCAUGUUAACCUCCUUGACAAAUGUGCCUGGCAAGGUAUUGAGGGGUACGUAUCAUAAAGACUGGGAAGAAAAAUUUUUGUAUUAAGUAAAAGAAUUUACUAGAUUUUCCAGAAAAGGGGGGAAUGAUAUUGUAUAAACUCACUUUAGGAUAGAAUAAAUCUUGUGGUUAAAAAUUAAUGAGAACAAAAUAGAUGAUAUCUUGUUAUCUGUCGACCUUCUGUUAUGCUGAAGCAUCUUGUUAAUUGAAACAUCCCGUUAUCUGUCGACCCUCAGUUAGGCUGAAACUUGAGAUAGCUUGAGCCAACGCGGCAUUUCUGCAGCUUGGAAAACAACUGAUUCAGCCAGCCUUGCAUUCUUUUAAGCAAAAGGUGAAAAGUGCAUCACGAGGAAGACCUACGGUCUUCCUCCCAAAGACCACUGCCCACGUCCAGAAGACCCCAGCUCACAAUUCUUGGAAGGCUUUACGCAAGCGCAACAACUGAUAAGCUAAUUAGCAUACGAAGUGAAAGUAGGUGGGUUUAGGUAAUGAAUAUGUAUAGGUGUUAAUAGAAUACUAAUUGUUUUGCUGUAUAAAUAUGAGAUAGUUUGUUAGUUCGAACAUGCACGAUAGGUGGAGAGAUCCCCUGUGCACCCAGCACUGCAAUAAAGAAUAUACCACUUAAGGAAAUUUCAGCUUCGAUCUUUGAAUCAGAUUCUAAGGACAUAUGAUUCCCCAUAAUGCGCAACUGCUUACCAGUGAGGGGCAGUUAUGUGUGCGGGUCCGCUUCUCUCAGCUUGAGCUUCUUUCCAGCUCCGGUACACCCAUUUCCAGAAACUUUCAGUAUGAGCUUCUCUGAGCGGUUUGCUGAGUUUGGCUGAACCUAUCUUCAUGAGGCAAUCAAUGUGCCUGUUCCUGUCCUGGUCUCCAUUCUGCUAGCCUGUUCCUUUUCAUUCCUUUUUCCUGCUUCUUUAUUGAUGACAUAACGUCAUCACAUCACAUUGCCUUUUUUAUCUUUAGGGCAAGCUCCCCUCUUAUACCCUUCUCCCCACGGCAGUUCUUUUCAAAACAACUUUUCAUUGGUUAAACAACUUUGAAUAUAACAACAACAGCAAACACCCAGAAACUUCCAUGCCUUAACAGCUGGAGAACAAGAAACCAGUUGGAGAACAAGAAAUCGGAGACUGCAUGGAGUCUCCUGAAUCACCACCCUUCUUUGUUCCCUCUAAACUCUUUUAUAUUCCUGAUGGCCUCAUCGUUAAAAGUCUAAUAUUAUCUCAACCACAGGGCUUUCCAACCCCCAUGGCCACACUCCCAAAUCUCCCCCUUUAUUUUUUAUAUUGAUAUUUAAUUGAUAUUUAUAUCAACCAUUUUCUCGACACAAAUUACCAUUCCAUAUAUAACAUGCCUAACUCCCCACUGUUAGGUAGAGAUUUAUUAUGGGCACUGUUAGGUAGAGAUUUAUUAGAGCAAUUAGGAACAGCAAUAAAAUUUGAAAAAGGGGAGAUUACUCUGGAGGUAAAUGAUCAAAAAUAUAUUCAGAUAAUGAGUUUAGCCCUAGUCAACCUUCCAAUGGAAGGGAAAGUUAAUGAAGAAGUUGUAAACCAGGUAUACCCAGGGGUAUGGGCUACUGAUGUACCUGGGAGAGCUAAAAAUGCCCCACCCGUUGAGAUUAGGCUCAAGGAGGGAAAGCAACCGGUAAGGAUCAAGCAGUACCCUCUAAAGUGGGAAGAUAGGUGUUACAGAGCCUUAGUACUGAAUAAGGAGACAUUGGGGAGGCAAGGACAAUCCCCAUACAAGGACUGUGUAUUUCGAAACAAGACACUGGAACCCAUGAUAAGGAAGCGACAGAUGGACAAAGAAACAACUGUAAGGACUAUAAAUCUCGAAACUGGACAUUGGAAUUCACGAUAAAGAUACAACAAACGGAAGAAUUAGCGACAGCUAGCUCUUGCAAUUAAGAAACAUGCCAACUCAGCAGAAUCCUGACCAAAGGUGAAAAGUAUACUGUGAGGAAGACUCGGGGUCUUCCUCCCAAAGACCACUGCCCACGUCCCAAAGACCCCUGCCCACAAUUCUUGGGAGACUCUACGCAGGUGCAAGAUGCCAAAAGGCUAAUUAGCAUGAGAAGCGAGGGAAGGUGGGGGUAGGUAAUGAAUACGUAUAGGCGCUUGUAGAAUAUUGAUAGAUUGAUUGUAUAAAUUCAAGACUGCUUUCCGCUUUGGGUAUGCACAAUAAGUGGAGAGAUCCCCCGUGCAUCCAGCGCUGCAAUAAAGAAUAUACCACUUAAAGGAAUUUUGGCUUCGAUCUUUGAAUCAGUACUCCGGAGGAUGCCUUUCUCUGUAAGGCUGUAAGCUGCAAGUCAGUUGCCCACAGCAAUGGGAUGAAUGCUAAAGAUGAACUCUAUCUCCAGUACACACCCAAGUAAAUCACUAGUGCACCAGAUAGUGGCUUACAGUAUCAAAUGCAUGCCUUUUGGUGCUACACAUUUAAUUUCUGCAGAAGGUGCAGAAACUGAUGCCUGCUUGAAUCUCACACUGAUGAGCCACAGAUCAAAAUGACCUUACUGUAGCUGACUCUCAGAAGUUUUAGGCUUGUAUUGAGAGUCAUCCUUUGGCUGGGAGCAGCUCUAGCUACGUUUUGAAGUGGCAGUGUUCAAACCUCAUGCAGAGAAGUGGAAGAAGCACAGAGUGGCACAUAGAAACAGAAGUUUGCGGCAUCAAAGGAGCAAGAAACUGGGAACUGAGAUACAUGCAGUUUUUAUGCUACAGAUGCAGAACUGGGAAAUAAAGGACUGGGAGAGAUGGGAAAAACACUUGUGGUCCUUGUUUGCAAGACUUAAAAGUGACCUGGGAAGAUAAAGCAUAUAUCGUCUGAUCUUUCCUACAAUCCAUAUUCCCUCUAUAGAAGCUCACCUCUUCCUCCUUCAGAGGCCUAAAGACAUCUCCAGGAUUCAGGAGAUGUUUCUGCAAAACUGUCUCAUGUG
This 5699-nucleotide long non-coding RNA is filed under the name Cairina moschata (Muscovy duck). RNAcentral describes it as "domestica (muscovy Duck (domestic type)) lncRNA (ENSCMMG00000010206.1)". Lineage: Eukaryota; Metazoa; Chordata; Aves; Anseriformes; Anatidae. The record is from RNAcentral.